GUGCCAGCAGCCGCGGUAAUACGGAGGAUGCAAGCGUUAUCCGGAAUGAUUGGGCGUAAAGCGUCCGCAGGUGGUUAUACAAGUCUGCUGUCAAAGCGCAAGGCUCAACCUUGUAAAGGCAGUGGAAACUGUGUGACUAGAGAGUGAUAGGGGCAGAGGGAAUUCCCAGUGUAGCGGUGAAAUGCGUAGAGAUUGGGAAGAACACCGGUGGCGAAAGCGCUCUGCUGGGUCAUAUCUGACACUGAGGGACGAAAGCUAGGGGAGCGAAAGGGAUUAGAAACCCCGGUAGUCC
This 292-nucleotide ribosomal RNA is filed under the name uncultured bacterium. RNAcentral describes it as "partial 16S ribosomal RNA". It matches the Rfam family "Bacterial small subunit ribosomal RNA", at positions 505 to 796 of the family's 1533-position model. The record is from RNAcentral.